UAACGAGGAUUCCCUAGUAACUGCGAGUGAAGCGGGAAGAGCUCAAAUUUGUAAUCUGGUGGUCUCUGGCCGCCCGAGUUGUAAUCUGUAGAGGCGUCGUCUGCGUCGGCCCGUGUACAAGUCUCCUGGGAUGGAGCGUCAUAGAGGGUGAGAAUCCCGUCCAUGACACGGACCACCGAUGCUCUGUGAGGCGCCCUCAAAGAGUCGCGUUGUUUGGGAAUGCAGCGCAAAGCGGGUGGUAAAUUCCAUCUAAGGCUAAAUAUUGGCGAGAGACCGAUAGCGAACAAGUACCGUGAGGGAAAGAUGAAAAGCACUUUGAAAAGAGAGUUAAACAGUACGUGAAAUUGUUGAAAGGGAAACGCUUGAAGUCAGUCGCGUCUCGAGGCACUCAGCCUUGCUUCGGCUCGGUGUACUUGCCUUAGGACGGGUCAACAUCAAUUUUGGCCGGUGGACAAGGGCGAGGGGAAUGUAGCGUUGUUUCGGCGACGUGUUAUAGCCCCUUGUCAGAUACAUUGGCUAGGAUUGAGGACUGCAGCACGCCCUUGUGGCCGGGGGUUCGCCUCACGUAACGUGCUUAAGAUGUUGGCAUAAUGGCUUUAAGCGACCCGUCUUGAAACACGGACCAAGGAGUCUAACAUGCUUGCGAGUGUUCGGGUGGAAAACCCUUGCGCGUAAUGAAAGUGAAAGUUGGGAGCCUCUGUAAAGAGGGGUGCACCGAUGCCCGGCUCUGACGUUUUCUGACGACGCCGCGGUAGAGCAAGCAUGUUGGGACCCGAAAGAUGGUGAACUAUGCCUGAAUAGGGCGAAGCCAGAGGAAACUCUGGUGGAGGCUCGUAGCGAUUCUGACGUGCAAAUCGAUCGUCAAAUUUGGG
RNAcentral lists this ribosomal RNA (872 nucleotides) under Phylloporia clausenae. Its description in RNAcentral is "eukaryotic LSU rRNA". It matches the Rfam family "Eukaryotic large subunit ribosomal RNA", at positions 66 to 915 of the family's 3401-position model. Lineage: Eukaryota; Fungi; Basidiomycota; Agaricomycetes; Hymenochaetales; Hymenochaetaceae. The record is from RNAcentral.